AGUGGCGAACGGGUGAGUAAUGCAUCGGAACGUACCGUGUAGUGGGGGAUAACGUAGCGAAAGUUACGCUAAUACCGCAUACGCCCUGAGGGGGAAAGUGGGGGACCGCAAGGCCUCACGCUAUAUGAGCGGCCGAUGUCGGAUUAGCUAGUUGGUAGGGUAAAGGCCUACCAAGGCGACGAUCCGUAGCGGGUCUGAGAGGAUGAUCCGCCACACUGGGACUGAGACACGGCCCAUACUCCUACGGGAGGCAGCAGUGGGGAAUUUUGGACAAUGGGCGCAAGCCUGAUCCAGCCAUGCCGCGUGAGUGAAGAAGGCCUUCGGGUUGUAAAGCUCUUUCAGACGGAAAGAAAUCUCUCGGGAUAACACCCUGGGAGGAUGACGGUACCGUAAAAAGAAGCACCGGCUAACUACGUGCCAGCAGCCGCGGUAAUACGUAGGGUGCGAGCGUUAAUCGGAAUUACUGGGCGUAAAGCGUGCGCAGGCGGUGAUGUAAGACAGAUGUGAAAUCCCCGGGCUCAACCUGGGAACUGCGUUUGUGACUGCAUCACUCGAGUACGGCAGAGGGAGGUGGAAUUCCGCGUGUAGCAGUGAAAUGCGUAGAUAUGCGGAGGAACACCGAUGGCGAAGGCAGCCUCCUGGGCCAGUACUGACGCUCAUGCACGAAAGCGUGGG
Molecule: ribosomal RNA, 675 nt
Filed under: uncultured Zoogloea sp.
Lineage: Bacteria; Pseudomonadati; Pseudomonadota; Betaproteobacteria; Rhodocyclales; Zoogloeaceae
Description: bacterial SSU rRNA
Rfam family: Bacterial small subunit ribosomal RNA
Source: RNAcentral